This 379-nucleotide unclassified non-coding RNA is filed under the name uncultured Paenibacillaceae bacterium. Its description in RNAcentral is "contains 16S-23S intergenic spacer region". The record is from RNAcentral. Lineage: Bacteria; Bacillati; Bacillota; Bacilli; Caryophanales; Paenibacillaceae.
UCCGGUUUGUCACCGGCAGUCACUUUAGAGUGCCCACCUUCACGUGCUGGCAACUAAGGUUAAGGGUUGCGCUCGUUGCGGGACUUAACCCAACAUCUCACGACACGAGCUGACGACAACCAUGCACCACCUGUCUCCUCUGUUCCGAAGAAAAGGUACAUCUCUGUACCGAUCAGAGGGAUGUCAAGACCUGGUAAGGUUCUUCGCGUUGCUUCGAAUUAAACCACAUGCUCCACUGCUUGUGCGGGUCCCCGUCAAUUCCUUUGAGUUUCAGUCUUGCGACCGUACUCCCCAGGCGGAAUGCUUAAUGUGUUAACUUCGGCACUAAGGGGUCUAUCCCCCCUAACACCUAGCAUUCAUCGUUUACGGCGUGGACUAC